This 452-nucleotide ribosomal RNA is filed under the name uncultured organism. RNAcentral's name for it is "partial 16S ribosomal RNA". It matches the Rfam family "Bacterial small subunit ribosomal RNA", at positions 332 to 800 of the family's 1533-position model. The record is from RNAcentral.
UACACUCCUGCGGGAGGCAGCAGUGGGGAAUAUUGGACAAUGGGCGUAAGCCUGAUCCAGCCAUGCCGCGUGAGUGAUGAAGGCCCUAGGGUUGUAAAGCUCUUUCACCGGAGAAGAUAAUGACGGUAUCCGGAGAAGAAGCCCCGGCUAACUUCGUGCCAGCAGCCGCGGUAAUACGAAGGGGGCUAGCGUUGUUCGGAAUUACUGGGCGUAAAGCGCACGUAGGCGGAUCGAUCAGUCAGGGGUGAAAUCCCAGGGCUCAACCCUGGAACUGCCUUUGAUACUGUCGAUCUGGAGUAUGGAAGAGGUGAGUGGAAUUCCGAGUGUAGAGGUGAAAUUCGUAGAUAUUCGGAGGAACACCAGUGGCGAAGGCGGCUCACUGGUCCAUUACUGACGCUGAGGUGCGAAAGCGUGGGGAGCAAACAGGAUUAGAUACCCGGGUAGUCCCAUGA